This 729-nucleotide ribosomal RNA is filed under the name Triticum aestivum (bread wheat). RNAcentral's name for it is "partial small subunit ribosomal RNA". Lineage: Eukaryota; Viridiplantae; Streptophyta; Magnoliopsida; Poales; Poaceae. The record is from RNAcentral.
AUGGCAACCGCCGUUCCACCGAUCAUCUCCCCGAAGGAAGAUCUCCCCCCUCCACUGACCUCCGCCUCCGAGCCCCCUCCGCUCUUCGACGGCACCACCAGGCUGUAUCUUGCAUAUCACUGUCCGUACGCGCAGCGCGCUUGGAUUGCCAGGAACUGCAAGGGUUUACAGGACAAGAUCAAGGUAGUCGCCAUAGAUCUGGCGGACAGGCCAGCUUGGUACAAGGAGAAAGUUUACCCGGAGAACAAGGUGCCUGCCCUGGAGCAUAACAACCAGGUGAAAGGAGAGAGCUUGGAUUUGGUCAAGUACAUUGACAGCAAUUUUGAUGGCCCAGCAUUGCUGCCUGAUGAUUCUGCAAAGAAGCAGUUUGCUGAGGAACUGCUUGCGUUCAGCGAUGGGUUUAAUAGUGCAUUUUUCUCAUGCUUACGCUCCAAGGGAGAUGUGUCAAAUGAAGCCGCUGCUGCUGUGGAUAAAAUAGAAGCUGCCUUGAAGUUCAGCGAUGGCCCAUUCUUCCUUGACCAAUUCAGUUUGGUGGACAUUGCGUAUGUACCAUUCAUCGAAAGGUUUCAGAUAUUCUAUUCUGGUAUCAAGAAGGAUGAUCUUGCCAAGGGAAGGCCCAACCUGCACAAAUUCAUUGAGGAAGUGAACAAGGUCGACGCAUAUACACAGACCAAAUUGGACCCACAGUUUCUACUUGAUCAAAUGAAGGAGAAGUUUGGGAUUGCUUGA